AACGAACGCUGGCGGCAUGCCUAACACAUGCAAGUCGAACGAGACCUUCGGGUCUAGUGGCGCACGGGUGCGUAACGCGUGGGAACCUGCCCUUAGGUUCGGAAUAACUCCCCGAAAGGGAUGCUAAUACCGGAUAAUGUCUUCGGACCAAAGAUUUAUCGCCUUUGGAUGGGCCCGCGUUGGAUUAGCUAGUUGGUAGGGUAAAAGCCUACCAAGGCGACGAUCCAUAGCUGGUCUGAGAGGAUGAUCAGCCACACUGGGACUGAGACACGGCCCAGACUCCUACGGGAGGCAGCAGUGGGGAAUAUUGGACAAUGGGCGAAAGCCUGAUCCAGCAAUGCCGCGUGAGUGAUGAAGGCCUUAGGGUUGUAAAGCUCUUUUACCCGGGAUGAUAAUGACAGUACCGGGAGAAUAAGCUCCGGCUAACUCCGCG
Molecule: ribosomal RNA, 433 nt
Filed under: uncultured bacterium
Lineage: Bacteria
Description: partial 16S ribosomal RNA
Rfam family: Bacterial small subunit ribosomal RNA
Source: RNAcentral